AUUGAACGCUGGCGGCAUGCCUUACACAUGCAAGUCGAACGGCAGCACGGGAGCAAUCCUGGUGGCGAGUGGCGAACGGGUGAGGUAAUAUAUCGGAACGUGCCCAGUCGUGGGGAUAACGGUAGCGAAAGCUACGCUAAUACCGCAUACGAUCUAUGGAUGGAAAGCGGGGGGAAUCGCAAGACCUCGCGCGAUUGGAGCGGCCGAUAUCAGAUUAGGUAGUUGGUGAGGUAAAGGCUCACCAAGCCGACGAUCUGUAGCUGGUCUGAGAGGACGACCAGCCACACUGGGACUGAGACACGGCCCAGACUCCUACGGGAGGCAGCAGUGGGGAAUUUUGGACAAUGGGCGCAAGCCUGAU
This 361-nucleotide ribosomal RNA is filed under the name uncultured bacterium. Its description in RNAcentral is "bacterial SSU rRNA". It matches the Rfam family "Bacterial small subunit ribosomal RNA", at positions 30 to 387 of the family's 1533-position model. The record is from RNAcentral.